GCGCACGCUGGCGGCGUGCUUAACACAUGCCAGUCGAACGGAAAGGCCCUGCUUUUGUGGGGUGCUCGAGUGGCGAACGGGUGAGUAACACGUGAGUAACCUGCCCUUGACUUUGGGAUAACUUCAGGAAACUGGGGCUAAUACCGGAUAGGAGCUCCUGCUGCAUGGUGGGGGUUGGAAAGUUUCGGCGGUUGGGGAUGGACUCGCGGCUUAUCAGCUUGUUGGUGGGGUAGUGGCUUACCAAGGCUUUGACGGGUAGCCGGCCUGAGAGGGUGACCGGCCACAUUGGGACUGAGAUACGGCCCAGACUCCUACGGGAGGCAGCAGUGGGGAAUAUUGCACAAUGGGCGGAAGCCUGAUGCAGCAACGCCGCGUGCGGGAUGACGGCCUUCGGGUUGUAAACCGCUUUCGCCUGUGACGAAGCGUGAGUGACGGUAAUGGGUAAAGAAGCACCGGCUAACUACGUG
RNAcentral lists this ribosomal RNA (467 nucleotides) under uncultured bacterium. Its description in RNAcentral is "partial 16S ribosomal RNA". It matches the Rfam family "Bacterial small subunit ribosomal RNA", at positions 30 to 507 of the family's 1533-position model. The record is from RNAcentral.